AUGGAACAUAACCAAUGAAGCUGGUGAACAAGCUCAUUGCAGCAUAUGCUUCUGAAGGUGGAGUAGCUCUGCAAGAGGAGUAGCAGCAUCAAAAAUGCCCCAUAAAGCUGGUACUGAACUCUCACCUUCCUUGUGGCCUCCUGAACAGCAUGGAUGAGACAAAUGCCAAGGAGAAGUGUCAGUUAACUUCAUUAACCCCAACUCAGGAUGCGAAAACUGGACAUCCUUUGAAAGGUAUCUGCAAGAUCUUGCCCAGCACCGAUUAAAUGAAUUUAAUGAAGAACAUACAGCUUCAUUGCCAGUUCUGGAAGUGGAAAAAAAGAGAAGAAAAAAGAAAAGAAGAAAAUAAUUACUUACCUGUUGAACUGAGGUUGCCUUAAGCAGAUUAUUAAAGCACUGAAGAACAGAAGCCAUCCAGCCGACAAGGAAAUUGUCUACUGAAUAUAGGACCUCCACCGUUGCUGAAACCUCAGUGACUUGUGUCCCUUGCCUAUCCCUAAGCAUCAAACACCACCAGUAAGCUUCUGCUAUAGAGAAAACUUACUGACAAGGAUAUUGCCCCUCAACUGUGUAUGCCAAAGUUAUUUUUACUUCCUAUAACUUCGAAGACUGGGUUCAUAAAUAUUUGCU
Pogoniulus pusillus (Red-fronted tinkerbird) is the source of this 630-nucleotide long non-coding RNA. RefSeq lists it as uncharacterized. Lineage: Eukaryota; Metazoa; Chordata; Aves; Piciformes; Lybiidae. The record is from RefSeq and is a predicted model, not a curated record. The transcript is spliced from 6 exons.